UACGUAGGGGGCUAGCGUUGUCCGGAAUCAUUGGGCGUAAAGCGCGUGUAGGCGGUCCGGUAAGUCCGCUGUGAAAGUCGGGGGUUCAACCCUCGAAUGCCGGUGGAUACUGUCGGGCUAGAGUGCGGAAGAGGCGAGUGGAAUUCCUGGUGUAGCGGUGAAAUGCGCAGAUAUCAGGAGGAACACCGGUGGCGAAGGCGGGAUCCUGGGCCAGUACUGACGCUGAGGAGCGAAAGCGUGGGGAGCAAACAGG
RNAcentral lists this ribosomal RNA (253 nucleotides) under uncultured bacterium. Its description in RNAcentral is "partial 16S ribosomal RNA". It matches the Rfam family "Bacterial small subunit ribosomal RNA", at positions 524 to 776 of the family's 1533-position model. The record is from RNAcentral.